This 244-nucleotide ribosomal RNA is filed under the name uncultured Staphylococcus sp. Its description in RNAcentral is "partial 16S ribosomal RNA". It matches the Rfam family "Bacterial small subunit ribosomal RNA", at positions 96 to 334 of the family's 1533-position model. The record is from RNAcentral. Lineage: Bacteria; Bacillati; Bacillota; Bacilli; Caryophanales; Staphylococcaceae.
CGGCGGACGGGUGAGUAACACGUGGAUAACCUACCUAUAAGACCGGGAUAACUUCGGGAAACCGGAGCUAAUACCGGAUAAUAUAUUGAACCGCAUGGUUCAAUAGUGAAAGACGGUUUUGCUGUCACUUAUAGAUGGAUCCGCGCCGCAUUAGCUAGUUGGUAAGGUAACGGCUUACCAAGGCAACGAUGCGUAGCCGACCUGAGAGGGUGAUCGGCCACACUGGAACUGAGACACGGUCCAG